Haplochromis burtoni (Burton's mouthbrooder) is the source of this 1678-nucleotide long non-coding RNA. RefSeq annotates it as OX-2 membrane glycoprotein. The transcript is spliced from 8 exons. The record is from RefSeq and is a predicted model, not a curated record. Lineage: Eukaryota; Metazoa; Chordata; Actinopteri; Cichliformes; Cichlidae.
AACCUGUAACACAAAUGUUGAUUGUUCUUUUCAUUCAGUACUCUGUGUUGUGUUGUGAAUGGAACUCACUGAAGUUUAAGCCUUUCUUCUUUGUACCAUAUCAUAUAACGAGCCUUACAGUUCACCUCGCAUUGAAUGAAAUGGCGAACAUUGGAGUUUUACUUUACGAGUUUUAUGUUGCUGUCAUUUUUAUUUUUUGGAACUUUGACAAAGCUCUAACAGCAGUGAUCCAAACACAGCAGACUGUGCUGGCAGCAGUGGGAGAAGAUGCUGAAUUCAGCUGUCAGCUGUUGGAGACUAAAGACGUCCUUCAGGUCACAUGGCAGAAAGUCUUACAAGAUGUGGAGACAAAUGUUGCCACGUACAACAAGUACUUUGGUCAGAGAGUGAAUGAUGGCUUUAAAGAUAAAGUCAAGUUUAAAUACACUGGACUACAGAACUGCUCCAUAGUCGUCAGGAAUGUGACGGAGCAGGAUGAAGGCUGCUAUCGCUGUCUGUUUAACACUUAUCCUGAAGGAGCCUUCACAGGUAGAACCUGCCUCCAAGUUUAUGAGCUGCAUGAACCUGUUGUUGGUGUCAGAGAGUCAAACUCUACUGAAGAGUGGGUUGUUUCCUGUUCAGCCACUGGUCGACCUGCUCCCACUGUAACACUCAGUGUCUCACAACAAGACCUCAGCUUCUCACAGUACAACACUGUCAGUGUGUCCAACACCAACGCUACAUUCACUGUCACCACUACAGCUGUGCUCUCAGGUUCACGUAAACACAGCACACAGGUGGGAUGUGCAGCACGAGUGCUCUCUGCUCCUCACAGAGAGGUGAUGGUGACGAUUCCUGAUGAUGAUGGUAGUGGUGAUGGUGAUGAUGAUGAUGAUGAUGAUGAUGGUCUAGAUGAAAACUUUGGAUCUAAACGCAGAAAUUUAGCAGUCAGGAUUUCAGUCAUUCUGUCCUCUGUGUUGCUGGUUGCCUUUAGUUGUGUUGCUGCAUUCAUCUUUGUCCAUCAUAGAACAAAAUCUCACAACAGGAAUCUCAAGAUAAAUAAGACACCUGAAACUAAGAUCAGAGACAGUCAGGAGACUGAAGCAUCUUUAUUCACAGCAGAGGGCAGCGAGGUCAGAAACGAAGGAGAGUCUGAGAGAAAUCACCAAGACAACAACCUGAUGUUCUCAUCAGAAGCAGCAGGAAGACUGAAUUUUGAGCAGUGCUGAACAAAUGUAUUGUUGAUGUGACUGGAGAUUAAAAACAUCUUUGUGUUAUAAACCACUGAUGUGAUUAUGUUAAUAGUUUACCGACAGGUUAUUAUUAUUAUUCAGUUAUCAUUGAUGCUGAUAUAAUGAUGCAUUGUGUCACUUUACAUGUAUGAAAUGAAGAUUUAAGUAUUGUUUCAAGUUGCCGUUUAGGUGCAGAUAUGAUGCAGCGGGUGGAGUUCAACAUCAGCGUGUGACGGCUGAAAUAGUUUAGGAUCAUCAACCUGCAGCUGACUUGCAAAUAAAUGUGACCAAUGGCUAAAGACAGAGAGAGAGAAACCACGCAUCUAGUUCAUGCAUUGGUGGUUAGACUCCGAUGGUCCAGCGCAGCAGAACACAAUCACAGCUGUGAUAGCGAUUAGGGCAGGACCCCCAGAGUAUAGAUGCUGGUGGUGGAGAUGAAGAUGGAGGCUUGAAUGGCACCUGAGAGA